GGCUUAAUGGUACAAGGUGUACAAUUUCAGUCUGCUAAGUUGCAGAUGUCCUGGGUUCAAUUCAGAGUUGGGUCA
This is a non-coding RNA of Sphaerobolus stellatus SS14, 75 nucleotides long. The record is from the annotation of a GenBank genome assembly. Lineage: Eukaryota; Fungi; Basidiomycota; Agaricomycetes; Geastrales; Sphaerobolaceae.